CCUUCGGUGAUCCGCCCGGACCUGACUGCUAUCGGAUUGGUACUAAGCCAUGCGAGUCGUUGUAGCAAUACAAGGCGGACGGCUCAGUAACACGUAGUCAACCUAACCUAUGGACGUGGAUAACCUCGGGAAACUGAGAAUAAACCGCGAUAGAUCAUUAUGCCUGGAAUGGCUUAUGGUUCAAACAAUUUAUUGCCGUAGGAUGGGACUGCGGCCUAUCAGCUUGUUGGUGAGGUAAUGGCCCACCAAGGCUAUAACAGGUACGGGCUCUGAGAGGAGAAGCCCGGAGAUGGGUACUGAGACACGGACCCAGGCCCUAUGGGGCGCAGCAGGCGAGAAACCUUAGCAAUGUGCGAAAGCACGACUAGGUUAAUCCGAGUGAUUUCUGUUGAAGAAAUCUUUUGUCAGUCGUAAAACCACAGACGAAUAAGGGGUGGGCAAGUCUGGUGUCAGCCGCCGCGGUAAUACCAGCACCUCGAGUGGUCAGGAGGUUUAUUGGGCCUAAAGCAUCCGUAGCCGGCUACGCAAGUCUCCGGUUAAAUCCAGCUGCUCAACAGAUGGGCUGCCGGAGAUACUACAUAGCUAGGGAGCGGGAGAGGUAGACGGUAUUCUGUGGGUAGGGGUAAAAUCCACUGAUCCAUAGAGGACCACCAGUGGCGAAGGCGGUCUACCAGAACGCGUUCGACGGUGAGGGAUGAAAGCUGGGGGAGCGAACCGGAUUAGAUACCCGGGUAGUCCCAGCCGUAAACGAUGCAAGCUAGAUGAUCCGAUCGCAGUUCGCGAUCGGAGUGUCGCAGGGAAGCCGUUAAGCUUGCCGCCUGGGGAGUACGGUCGCAAGGCUGAAACUUAAAGGAAUGGCGGGGGAGCA
RNAcentral lists this ribosomal RNA (868 nucleotides) under uncultured archaeon. Its description in RNAcentral is "bacterial SSU rRNA". It matches the Rfam family "Archaeal small subunit ribosomal RNA", at positions 1 to 878 of the family's 1478-position model. The record is from RNAcentral.